UGAGGAAUAUUGGUCAAUGGGCGAGAGCCUGAACCAGCCAAAUCGCGUGGAGGAAGAAGGUAUUAUGUAUUGUAAACUCCUUUUGUCGGGGAAUAAAGUGCACCACGUGUGGUGUUUUGUAUGUACCCGAAGAAUAAGCAUCGGCUAACUCCGUGCCAGCAGCCGCGGUAAUACGGAGGAUGCGAGCGUUAUCCGGAUUUAUUGGGUUUAAAGGGUGCGUAGGCGGGACGACCAGUCAGCGGUGAAAGUACAUGGCUCAACCAUGUAAUUGCCGUUGAAACUGUCGUUCUUGAGUAUGGAUGAGGUAGGCGGAAUUCGUGGUGUAGCGGUGAAAUGCUUAGAUAUCACGAGGAACUCCAAUUGCGAAGGCAGCUUACCAGACCAUAACUGACGCUGAGGCACGAAGGUGCGGGUAUCAAACAGG
RNAcentral lists this ribosomal RNA (424 nucleotides) under uncultured prokaryote. RNAcentral describes it as "bacterial SSU rRNA". It matches the Rfam family "Bacterial small subunit ribosomal RNA", at positions 355 to 776 of the family's 1533-position model. The record is from RNAcentral. RNAcentral also lists the same sequence under 1 other name.